AUUGAACGCUGGCGGCAGGCCUAACACAUGCAAGUCGAGCGGAUGACGGGAGCUUGCUCCUUGAUUCAGCGGCGGACGGGUGAGUAAUGCCUAGGAAUCUGCCUGGUAGUGGGGGACAACGUUUCGAAAGGAACGCUAAUACCGCAUACGUCCUACGGGAGAAAGCAGGGGACCUUCGGGCCUUGCGCUAUCAGAUGAGCCUAGGUCGGAUUAGCUAGUUGGUGGGGUAAUGGCUCACCAAGGCGACGAUCCGUAACCGGUCUGAGAGGAUGAUCAGUCACACUGGAACUGAGACACGAUCCAGACUCCGACGGGAGGCAGCAGUGGGGAAUAUUGGACAAUGGGCGAAAGCCUGAUCCCGCCAUGCCGCGUGUGUGAAGUAGGUCUUCGGAUUGUAAAGCACUUUAAGUUGGGAGGAAGGGCAGUAAGUUAAUACCUUGCUGUUUUGACGUUACCGGCAGAAUAAGCACCGGCUAACUCUGUGCCAGCCGCCGCCGUAA
Molecule: ribosomal RNA, 500 nt
Filed under: uncultured bacterium
Lineage: Bacteria
Description: partial 16S ribosomal RNA
Rfam family: Bacterial small subunit ribosomal RNA
Source: RNAcentral